GGGGCUGUAGCUCAGUGGUAGAGCACUUGCCUUGUACAUGUGAGACCCUGGGUUCGAUCCCCAGCACCA
Ictidomys tridecemlineatus (thirteen-lined ground squirrel) is the source of this 69-nucleotide non-coding RNA. The record is from Rfam. NCBI's taxonomy places the organism in Eukaryota, Metazoa, Chordata, Mammalia, Rodentia, Sciuridae.